Long non-coding RNA from Leptopilina heterotoma, 1510 nucleotides. RefSeq lists it as uncharacterized. The transcript is spliced from 2 exons. The record is from RefSeq and is a predicted model, not a curated record. Lineage: Eukaryota; Metazoa; Arthropoda; Insecta; Hymenoptera; Figitidae.
UAUAUGUAUUUAUAUUAAUAAAAAUAAUAAAUAUACAUUAUUUAAAUAAAUAAACUUAAAUUCUCAAUAUUCUCUUAAAUUCUCUUAUAGUCUCUUAAAAAAAUUAAAUUACCGUAAUUUCCUUAGGGAAAUUACCCCAACUUAAAUUCUCGAGAAUUUAAGAACACUAAGGAGGAACAACUCGAGUAUUUCCGAUGGUCCCGAUUUUAACGGACGAUUGGGUGUACUACCCCGAGGCGCACUAGUCUUCUGCACACCUCAACACAUGCAUAACUGUGUAUAUUUUAUAUAUAUUCCAUCUGACAGCUGUAACAGCUGCAAGUUUUUAUUAUCCCCUCAUAUUGAAUAAUAAGUGUAAAUAUUAAGUGAACUUAAUAUUUUUAAUACAGAAAUUUCUAAUAAAAGUGAGAAGUGUAUUUAACACUAGUGUUUUUAAUUAUGAUUCGUAUUGAUGAAGAGUGUUAAUUUAAAUAAUAAAAGUUGUAAUGGGAUUUUCAUAACCAUUUUUUAUCUUACAAUAAAAAAAGGCAUUGUAUUUGAGGUUAACCAUAACCUCCAAAGAGGAAUUUUUCCAACUGAACUAAGUUUUCGGAUUUAACGCUCUACGAUAUUUCAAAGAUUUUAAAAGAGAUUUAUAAAUUAUAAAAACUAAUAAAGAUGAAAUCAAGCAAAAAUAUUUCAGAAGAUACAAACUCUUUUAUGGCAUUUCAUUUAGUGUUUUCAAAAUCAACUGUCACAGAACUUGCACAUAACCAAGAAAAUUGUAAACAAAACAAACACACAUUAUUUAAAGAUACACAGAUAGAGUUUAUACAGUUAUGCAUGUGUUGCGAUGUGCAGAAGACUAGUGCGCCUCGGGGUAGUACGCCCAGUCGUCCGUUAAAAACGGGACCACUGCUCUCUAUGAACAAGCAGGCGAGUUGGUUCUCCUGUAUAUAGUCUUCUUGCGGCAGGCAUAAAUUCACGUAAUUCUCCGCUAGGGAAAAACACUACGUAACUCUUCGUAUAAAAACGCAUGCAUUUAUUUGCUUAUUUCCGUAAAGAAUUUUAUCACAUGCAAAAAAUCUAAAGAACGAAAUAGAAUGGCAACCAAACAUGUGCUGCUUUUUGAAAAGGAAUAAUAGUUAAAAUUACAGAUGUUGAAAUAGUCUGCGAAAAUGAGGCAAAUGUCACGUAGGACACAAAAAAUUAGAAUUGGAAAGAAACAGAGUUUAUUUCUAUAAAAAAUAGCCUUUUGAGAAAUACAUAUUUCCGAACUUUGAAACCGUUGGGAAAACCCAAACAUGUGGUAGCAAUAAAAAAGGGACCGUGGGACUCGGACCUUACUCGAGUCCCCGGUAUAAAAAAAGGGUAUUGUAUAGUCAGGAAAAACCUAUGACUCAUCCUUCGUAUAUAAGAAAAAGAAAUGAGCUUUCUAUUUAAUUACAAUAUUCAAAUUUGAUAUGAAUUUCUUAUUUUUAAUUCUAUGUAUAUCACUAACAAUUUUAUAAAACAACGAUUAUAAAUUGAU